This 389-nucleotide ribosomal RNA is filed under the name uncultured eukaryote. RNAcentral's name for it is "SSU rRNA". It matches the Rfam family "Eukaryotic small subunit ribosomal RNA", at positions 587 to 972 of the family's 1831-position model. The record is from RNAcentral.
AGCUCCAAUAGCGUAUAUUAAAGUUGUUGCAGUUAAAAGGCUCGUAGUCGAAUUUGUAGUUCUUUGCCUUCGUCCCGUUCCUUCUGGAGCGUUUGAGACGUCGGAAAGGACUUUCCUGGUGGACACUGUCUUCUGCCCUUUACUGGGUUGGUUGCUGGAUCUGCCUCUUUUACUGUGAGAAAAACAAGGUGCUCAAAGCAGGCUUUAUAGCUUGAAUGCGUUAGCAUGGAAUAAUAAGAUAGGACUUUGCUCCUAUUUUGUUGGCUCUGAGGAACAAAGUAAUGAUUGAUAGGGAUAGUUGGGGGUGCUCGUAUUUAACGGUCAGCGGUGAAAUGCAUGGACCCGUUAAAGACGAACUUAUGCGAAAGCAUUCACCAAGGAUAUCUUCU